Molecule: ribosomal RNA, 292 nt
Filed under: uncultured bacterium
Lineage: Bacteria
Description: partial 16S ribosomal RNA
Source: RNAcentral
GGACUACCGGGGUAUCUAAUCCUGUUCGCUCCCCACGCUUUCGUGACUCAGCGUCAGUUUCAGUCCAGUAAGCCGCCUUCGCCACUGGUGUUCUUCCAUAUAUCUACGCAUUUCACCGCUACACAUGGAAUUCCGCUUACCUCUCCUGUACUCUAGUCCUCCAGUUUCUUAUGCACGACCAUGGUUGAGCCAUGGCUUUUCACAUAUGACUUAAAGAACCGCCUACUCACCCUUUACACCCAGUAAUUCCGGAUAACGCUUGCCCCCUACGUAUUACCGCGGCGGCUGGCAC